AGGAAGCCAAAUUUAUCGCAGAAGAGCCCAAAAAAACAACAAAAGGUAAGGGAGUACAGCUGCUGUCCUGAACACCAAGUAAAAGCAGGGAACUGAUGCACCACACAUAUUCAAGCCUAAAGAGCGGCCACAAAAUCUGCUUAACGAUUCAAACCUUGCUUGGCUAAGAUGCCAGCAACUGAAUUUGCUUCUGAGUAAUGGAAGCCAUGGGUAAUAAAGCCAACAGGUCCAAAAUUGAGUUUAUAAUAGCCGAAAAUUUCCAUGGUGCUGAUUCUGAAUGUGUGACCCAACAAACUGCAUUUUUCGAAUCAGAUUCAAUUAUAAUAGACUCGAAACAACAACCUAGCUCGAGA
Molecule: unclassified non-coding RNA, 353 nt
Filed under: Hevea brasiliensis (rubber tree)
Lineage: Eukaryota; Viridiplantae; Streptophyta; Magnoliopsida; Malpighiales; Euphorbiaceae
Source: RNAcentral